RNAcentral lists this ribosomal RNA (365 nucleotides) under uncultured Pelotomaculum sp. RNAcentral describes it as "bacterial SSU rRNA". It matches the Rfam family "Bacterial small subunit ribosomal RNA", at positions 1019 to 1382 of the family's 1533-position model. Lineage: Bacteria; Bacillati; Bacillota; Clostridia; Eubacteriales; Desulfotomaculaceae. The record is from RNAcentral.
UCGGGUGACAGGGAGACAGGUGGUGCAUGGUUGUCGUCAGUCUCGUGUCGUGAGAUGUUGGGUUAAGUCCCGCAACGAGCCGCAACCCCUACGUUUAGUUGCUAACGCGUGAAGGCGAGCACUCUAGACGAACUGCCGUUGACAAAACGGAGGAAGGUGGGAUGACGUCAAAUCAUCAUGCCCCUUAUGUUCUGGGCUACACACGUGCUACAAUGGCCGGUACAGACGGACGCAAAGCCGCGAGGUGGAGCAAAUCCUAAAAAGCCGGUCUCAGUUCGGAUUGCAGGCUGCAAUUCGCCUGCAUGAAGUCGGAAUCGCUAGUAAUCGCAGGUCAGCAUACUGCGGUGAAUACGUUCCCGGGCCUU